GUGGACAAGAAGCUGGAUAUGAGUCAACAGUGUGCCCUUGUUGCCAAGAAGGCUAACGGGGCCUCAGGUGGCCACAGGCAACAAUGAGGAGGACAUUGUUGAUGAUGAGGAGGAGAAUGCACAGCAGGCAAGUGGAGGAUCCAUUCUCCCCAACAGCCAAGACCUUCUCCUAACUCUGGAGCCAAUCCCCUCCCAGGACCUACUGUUGCGGGACCGUGAAGGCACCUCUGCUGCAACCUUGUCUGUGGGUGCUUCCUCCACACCAGCACAAAGGUUGUCCCACGGCACCGGGCAGCACAGAGCACCAGGUCAGGCCGGGCUCUGCAGCUGCGCUACCACAAGAGCUCACAGCCCCACAGCCC
This is a long non-coding RNA of Mauremys reevesii (Reeves's turtle), 362 nucleotides long. RefSeq lists it as uncharacterized. Lineage: Eukaryota; Metazoa; Chordata; Testudines; Geoemydidae. The record is from RefSeq and is a predicted model, not a curated record. The transcript has 3 exons.